CUCACCGCCUCUCUUUCCUCUUCACCUGCGCAGCCCCAACCCUCCUCUCCUCACUCUUUCUGCCUUCAAACCAUUCACACACAAAACAAAAGCAUUCACAUACAUGGAGGAGAGAUCUGAGAGGGGAGAUGCGUCGCCAGUAGGGUGUGGGCCGCCAUCACGCUGUCGUCGAGCUGGAGGGAGGAGCCGUCGCCGCCACGCCUCACCGUCGAAGCCCCACGUCGCUGCCGCUGCCGCUGGAGGAUGAAUGAUAAAUGAUGAAUGAAUUAUGUAUAUGGCUUAUAAAUUUGAAAUAUCUGAGAUACGAGGUUCCCUGAAUUAAGUGACGUGGCUUGCCACCACGUGUACCAGGUUGAAAACUCGAUACUCUGUUGACCCUACGACGUAAGUGUGUGACCGGGCACUAUAUAAAUUCCCGGGAAUGUUACCCCCAUUGAGUAACAUUGAUUAUUUGAGAAAAAGCUAUGCAUAGACUCUUGGGGAUGCACGUCGGGGGACAGUCUAAGUACAAUUCAGACUUGUCGGGUUGGCUGGAUAAAAAUGGGUGUGAGACCAGAGUAUGAACGUUAAGCACGUUAUUUUAACCCUAGCUUGUUUUAUAACCUUUCGCCGUCUUACUUUACCAUCACAUGUUUAAAUCAUGUCUUCUUUUAUAUCAAGCCUGCUUUGUAAUUUCUGCCUUGCAAUUACACUCCUAUCCUUAUAUUUUUAUGCUAUAUGAUAAUCCAAGUAUUUGAAGCUAUAUAUAUAUAUGCGUGCUGAGGUUCUUUACUUCUCCAUAAAGUGUUAAAACUAUGUAAUACUUUUUAUAAUACGCUAAUUUUCGACAACGAAAAUUUUUAUAAGGUGGGUGGAAUGUAAGUCCCAGAAUUUUUGAAAGUUUUAUUAUAAAUUAAUUUCAAGUUUAAUUAUUUAUUUAUAGCUUUAAUUUCAGAAAUUUCUUUAUUAAAGAUAAUUAAAGUAAGUUUUGAUUAAUUGAGUUUGAAAUAAAUUAAGAUUUUUAUUCAAUUUUAUAAUUAUUGAAGUAUUUUCUAUAUUUAAAUUAUAAAGUUUAGUAAUUGUAAAAUAAUAAGAAUUUUAUAUGAUUUGAUUUAAAUAAUGGAGAUUUCGGAAUUUAAUACUUUCAAUUUUUACAAACAAAGAAAAUUAAUUAUAUUAUCUCUAAUCCUUUAAUUAGAAUAUUUCAUUGAAAUUAAUUUGUAAAUUUAUGAUUAAAUAAUAUUUUUUUAAAGAUAAUUUUUUUGAAUUAAAAUUGAUUUUCAAUUACUCUGCUACCCCUAAUUUUAGUAAAAUGACUAAACUGCUCUUAACCCUAAUUCUAUCCUCACCGCCUCUCUUUCCUCUUCACCUGUGUAGCCCCAAACCCUCCUUUCCUCACUCUUUCUGUCUUCCAACCGUUUUACACACAAAACAAAUGUAUUCACAUACAUGGAGGAGAGAUCUGAGAGGGAAAAUGUGUAACCGGUAGGGUGUGGGCCGCCGUCACGCCGUCGUCAAGCUGGAGGGAGGAGCCAUCGCCGCCACGCCUCACCGUCGAAGCCCCACGUUCUUGCCACUGCCGCUGGAGGAUCUUCGCCGCCGUUCUCGUGCCUCAUCGUCAUCGUUUACCUUCCAUCCAGCCCAAACCGCUGCACAAGGGAGCCAAGGAAGAGGUCGCCGCUACUGCGCCACGCGUCGCCGAUGACCUGCCUCGAAGCCGCCGUCGCGGAUCAGAUCUAAGGCGAGGAAGAGAGACA
RNAcentral lists this long non-coding RNA (1736 nucleotides) under Arachis ipaensis. RNAcentral describes it as "long non-coding RNA (AIPA_LNC001677)". Lineage: Eukaryota; Viridiplantae; Streptophyta; Magnoliopsida; Fabales; Fabaceae. The record is from RNAcentral.